Molecule: unclassified non-coding RNA, 611 nt
Filed under: Zea mays
Lineage: Eukaryota; Viridiplantae; Streptophyta; Magnoliopsida; Poales; Poaceae
Description: misc RNA Zm00001eb056680
Source: RNAcentral
UUUUGGUAAACUUCCAAAGUAUCAUCAGGAUCCUACAACAGAAGAGUUAGCCAAAACACUCGAUUGUUGGCCAUCAAUGAAUUAUUAUAUCACGGGUUGUAGAUAUGUUCUCAUGCCAUGGAAAUUCAAUGGAUGUUACGCCCUUUUCGUAAUAGAUCAUGUUAAAAAGCAUGUGACUUUUAUUGAUUUUACACCGACUCAAGAUUGGUGUAAACACAUGCCAUACAAGAGGUUCGCGGAAGCGAUUAUCAUGGCCUCAAAAAAAUAUAAGAUUGCUUACAGCAAGAAACGUUCUGCAUGGGCGGAGGAUAUCUUUAAGUGGGAACAUACAAUUCAGACUGGUGUUCCAAUUGACUUAAGAGGGUUUAAUACCAGCUACCUCGUUCUACAAGCUAUGGCCAUGUGGGGGAAUGACAGACGACUGAAAUUUGUUGGGGAUGCAAAGACUCUUCGAAGGAACUUUGUGAUUGAUCUGUUAAGUUAUGAGGAUAAUUCGUGCCGAUAUGCCAUCCCUGCAAACAUACAACAGAGACUCAUCGAUAUCGCUAAAAAGGAUUAGCUGAUUAGUUGUCGACAUAUUUGUCUGUAAUUAAAAAUUCUAAAUUAACUUU